This is a long non-coding RNA of Mastomys coucha (southern multimammate mouse), 284 nucleotides long. RefSeq lists it as uncharacterized. The transcript is spliced from 3 exons. Lineage: Eukaryota; Metazoa; Chordata; Mammalia; Rodentia; Muridae. The record is from RefSeq and is a predicted model, not a curated record.
GUGGAAGUCGGGCUGGAGUAGUCUGAUGGGCAAGUAAAGGUAAAGAAAGGUAGCAAGAAAUACAGACUGCUUCCUUCAUCUGGCCUAUAAAUUGCCACUCAGACCUGGCAAGAAGAGCCCUGAGACGAGAGUUUGAAGAGACAAGUAAUGUAGACGCUGUGGGAUGCAUUUGAAAGAAGUUAACAAGACAGAAGUAUGACCUUGUGAUUGGAGAACAGAAUCAAAGAAUGACUAUCCUUCCAGCAAACUUCAUAUCAUGAUUACUUCAUGUGAUAAAGAGCUGG